RNAcentral lists this ribosomal RNA (451 nucleotides) under uncultured soil bacterium. RNAcentral's name for it is "bacterial SSU rRNA". It matches the Rfam family "Bacterial small subunit ribosomal RNA", at positions 26 to 518 of the family's 1533-position model. The record is from RNAcentral.
AGAACGAACGCUGGCGGCAUGCCUAAUACAUGCAAGUCGAACGAACUCUUCGGAGUUAGUGGCGCACGGGUGCGUAACGCGUGGGAAUCUGCCCUUGGGUUCGGAAUAACAGUUGGAAACGACUGCUAAUACCGGAUGAUGACGAAAGUCCAAAGAUUUAUCGCCCAGGGAUGAGCCCGCGUAGGAUUAGCUAGUUGGUGAGGUAAAGGCUCACCAAGGCGACGAUCCUUAGCUGGUCUGAGAGGAUGAUCAGCCACACUGGGACUGAGACACGGCCCAGACUCCUACGGGAGCAGCAGUAGGGAAUAUUGGACAAUGGGCGAAAGCCUGAUCCAGCAAUGCCGCGUGAGUGAUGGAAGGCCUUAGGGUUGUAAAGGCUUCUUUUACCCGAGAUGAUAAUGACAGUAUCGGAAGAAUAAGCCCCGGAUAACUCCGACGCCAAGCAGCCGAC